RNAcentral lists this long non-coding RNA (466 nucleotides) under Salmo salar (Atlantic salmon). Its description in RNAcentral is "lncRNA (ENSSSAG00000115418.1)". Lineage: Eukaryota; Metazoa; Chordata; Actinopteri; Salmoniformes; Salmonidae. The record is from RNAcentral.
AGUCCGUCCUGUUAGUCCUGUUAGUCCGUCCUGUUAGUCCUGUUAGUCCGUCCUGUUAGUCCUGUUAGGCCGUCCUGUUAGUCCUGUUAGUCCGUCCUGUUAGUCCUGUUAGUCCUGUUAGGCCGUCCUGUUAGUCCGUCCUGUUAGUCCUGUUAGGCCGUCCUGUUAGUCCUGUUAGGCCGUCCUUCCUGUUAGGCCGUCCUGGAAGGCCGUCCUGUUAGUCCUGUUAGGCCGUCCUGUUAGUCCUGUUAGUCCUGUUAGGCCGUCCUGCCUGUUAGUCCGUCCUGUUAGGCCGUCCUGUUAGUCCUGUUAGGCCGUCCUGUUAGUCCUGUUAGGCCGUCCUGGAAGGAUUGGGGCUGGAGCGUAACAGGCCGCGGUAUCAGACGUCUUGUUUGAGUCCCAAAUUGCCACCUAUUUCCUAAAUAUUGCUCUACUUUUGACCAGGGCCUAUUGGGUAGUGCACUAU